AAAAAUUAUCAACUUAGUAGAUGUGAUCUAAUCUGCCAGGCAGAUUUCAAAUAAUUACAUAAUUUUCCAACUAAAGAUCUAGAUUUUGUUCGAUACAGAUACAUAAGUUUUGUCACAUUUGGCCACGAACAGUAAUAAUUUGGUAAAAACUGCAGUCGUACAUGUCUAUACACAGGACACACUAACGUAAAAUGGUACUCAUCUUCAACACUUUUCAUAUUACAGCAAGUACAUAAUCUGUUUUCUCUUAGUAUAUUUGUAUAACGCCCCACCUCAACAUUUAACUUCAUAGUACCACUACGUAGCUUUGUGAAAAAAUGUGAAUUAUAGUUAUAGUCUACGUAAUCUUCAAAACAAAAAUCUAAUUUUAAAAUUCUGUACAUAGUAAGUUUCUCACAAUCCUGUAUAGAUGCAGACCAGCUUUGAAUAUAUUGAUCUUUUAACCUAGUUUUUAUUACAUCUAAUGAUAUAUUUAUACCAGACUGCUGGUACCAUACAAAG
RNAcentral lists this long non-coding RNA (501 nucleotides) under Mytilus galloprovincialis (Mediterranean mussel). The record is from RNAcentral. Lineage: Eukaryota; Metazoa; Mollusca; Bivalvia; Mytilida; Mytilidae.